GAUAGAGAACAGAGGAUUGGAAGGAUGGUUGGAACUGGGCGUCUCUCCCCGUCCUCUUUCUUGGCAUUAUUGGUCAUCGGUCACCAGGUUUCCUGGAGUUCCUGUGAGUGCCCGUGCAGAGCAAGAGGGCUCACCAUCUGACCCUCAAACCCGGACCAGGGCCGUGCACCCCAGCACCACCGAACAGGAUACAGGCAGUACCUGGCCGCUGCUCCUGUGGUUCCUGGCUGGGAGACCCGAACACGCACAGGUACCCUGGUAUCAGGGGCUCAUCUCCAGCCCCGGCUUCCUGCCGUCUCUCUUCAGGACACUCAACUGCAUUCUGUAGCCCGGGAUGACCAGCCACCACCUUCCUGGUGCCCCAGCCCCUUUCCACACUUCCGGCAGAGCAGCCUCUGUCCUCUGACAUCCCCAGACUUCCCUAGCCCCGGCUGUCAUUGUUGCUCAUAGCGCCCCUAUGCAUAGGAAGCUGAGCUGCCCUGGCCCAGCCCCAGUCAGCUCCCACCCUCAGCGCCUGGCCUGUGUCACUUGGCGCAGCUCAGGCAGCUGUGGGAAGCUCAGCCAGCUCUCAGAGCACUGCAUCCUUGUCCUUCGGGAGCACAGACCUGGCGCCUAGAGCUGCUCCCUCCUCCAACCCUUUCCCUGUGUGGCCCCAAGGGCUGAGCCCUGCCCGCCAAUGAGAAGGCCUGAAGGAUGGGGAGACCACCCCUCUGCUCCAGUGAG
This 723-nucleotide long non-coding RNA is filed under the name Homo sapiens (human). RNAcentral describes it as "HSALNT0183877". Lineage: Eukaryota; Metazoa; Chordata; Mammalia; Primates; Hominidae. The record is from RNAcentral.